This 254-nucleotide ribosomal RNA is filed under the name uncultured bacterium. RNAcentral's name for it is "partial 16S ribosomal RNA". It matches the Rfam family "Bacterial small subunit ribosomal RNA", at positions 524 to 776 of the family's 1533-position model. The record is from RNAcentral.
UACGUAGGGUGCGAGCGUUGUCCGGAAUUAUUGGGCGUAAAGAGCUCGUAGGCGGUCUGUCGCGUCGAUCGUGAAAACUUGGGGCUUAACCCUGAGCUUGCGGUCGAUACGGGCAUGACUGGAGUUCGGCAGGGGAGACUGGAAUUCCUGGUGUAGCGGUGAAAUGCGUAGAUAUCUGGAAGAACACCGGUGGCGAAGGCGGUAAACUGGCUCUUAACUGACGCUGAGGCGCGAAAGCGUGGGUAGCGAACGGG